GUUGUCGUGGCCGAGUGGUUAAGGCGAUAGAACGGAAAUUAUUUGGCAUCUUCCCACGCAGGUUCGAAUCCUUUCUAACG
This 80-nucleotide transfer RNA is filed under the name Dreissena polymorpha. Its description in RNAcentral is "tRNA-Ser". Lineage: Eukaryota; Metazoa; Mollusca; Bivalvia; Myida; Dreissenidae. The record is from RNAcentral.